ACAGACAUCAGUUCAUCACUGUCCGUCGACUACUGAGUACGACUACAGAUUAUCAUUAUCAGUGUCUCAUGCAAUUAGCAAUUAAAUUUAAGAGAUAGGAUCCUUACGUACGCCAUGGCUUCCCAACAAACAGAAGACCGGGAGGAGAUGCCUCUUUCCAACCAUGAGAUGGCGGAUAGUAUGAACCAAGCUGCCAAUGAACUGCACACAGCGGCUUCUUCUUUAAUCAAAGCAGCGGCUAUUAUCCGACAAGCAUUCUCUCAUCUCAUAGUUUCAAUCCCACCGAUUGCUGAAUUGGAACCACCGUCAUCUCCGCCUCAACAGCCGAAUCUAGAUCUGGCCUUAGCUGAGAUGUCAUUGGGAACUAACAAGUAACAAUUGACGGCAUCGUGAACCUGGCAUGAUUAAGGAGAGAGUAAAAAUGAGGAGGCCAUCGUCCCAUCAAUAAGGAAUGCAGCUCAUUCAGAGACAAAUCAAUUUUUCGUUCAAAUGAUUUUUACUUGUUUUUCACCUGAAGUCUGAGUUAAUUAAAAAAUACAAGAAUUACAAAUGGAA
Molecule: long non-coding RNA, 555 nt
Organism: Daphnia pulicaria
Lineage: Eukaryota; Metazoa; Arthropoda; Branchiopoda; Diplostraca; Daphniidae
Exons: 3
Source: RefSeq, a predicted model, not a curated record